Molecule: ribosomal RNA, 450 nt
Filed under: uncultured bacterium
Lineage: Bacteria
Description: partial 16S ribosomal RNA
Rfam family: Bacterial small subunit ribosomal RNA
Source: RNAcentral
GUGGGGAAUAUUCCGCAAUGGACGAAAGUCUGACGGAGCAACGCCGCGUGAGUGAUGAAGGUUUUCGGACUGUAAAGCUCUGUUGUUUAGGACGAAAGUGCCUGUUGCAAAUAGUUACAGGUAUUGACGGUACUGAACGAGGAAGCCACGGCUAACUACGUGCCAGCAGCCGCGGUAAUACGUAGGUGGCAAGCGUUGUCCGGAAUUAUUGGGCGUAAAGAGCAUGUAGGCGGGAAUCUAAGUCUGUUGUGAAAAUGCGGGGCUCAACCCCGUAUGGCGAUGGAAACUGGAUUUCUUGAGUGCAGGAGAGGAAAGGGGAAUUCCCAGUGUAGCGGUGAAAUGCGUAGAUAUUGGGAGGAACACCAGUGGCGAAGGCGCCUUUCUGGACUGUGUCUGACGCUGAGAUGCGAAAGCCAGGGUAGCGAACGGGAUUAGAAACCCGGGUAGUCC